UACGUAGGGACCGAGCGUUGUCCGGAUUCAUUGGGCGUAAAGAGCUCGUAGGCGGCUAUUCAAGUCGAACGUGAAAUCUCGGAGCUCAACUCCGAAACUGCGUUCGAUACUGGGUAGCUAGAGUCUGGUAGGGGGAUCUGGAAUUCCUGGUGUAGCGGUGGAAUGCGCAGAUACCAGGAGGAACACCGGUGGCGAAGGCGGGAUCCUGGGCCAGUACUGACGCUGAGGCGCGAAAGCUGGGGGAGCAAACGGG
Molecule: ribosomal RNA, 253 nt
Filed under: uncultured bacterium
Lineage: Bacteria
Description: partial 16S ribosomal RNA
Rfam family: Bacterial small subunit ribosomal RNA
Source: RNAcentral